AGUGAACGCUGGCGGUAGGCCUAACACAUGCAAGUCGAACGGCAGCACAGUAAGAGCUUGCUCUUACGGGUGGCGAGUGGCGAACGGGUGAGGAAUACAUCGGAAUCUACUUUUUCGUGGGGGAUAACGUAGGGAAACUUACGCUAAUACCGCAUACGACCUACGGGUGAAAGCAGGGGAUCUUCGGACCUUGCGCGAUUGAAUGAGCCGAUGUCGGAUUAGCUAGUUGGCGGGGUAAAGGCCCACCAAGGCGACGAUCCGUAGCUGGUCUGAGAGGAUGAUCAGCCACACUGGAACUGAGACACGGUCCAGGCUCCUACGGGAGGCAGCAGUGGGGAAUAUUGGACAAUGGGCGCAAGCCUGAUCCAGCCAUACCGCGUGGGUGAAGAAGGCCUUCGGGUUGUAAAGCCCUUUUGUUGGGAAAGAAAAGCAGCAGGUUAAUACCCCGCUGUUCUGACGGUACCCAAAGAAUAAGCACCGGCUAACUUCGUG
This 492-nucleotide ribosomal RNA is filed under the name uncultured bacterium. RNAcentral's name for it is "partial 16S ribosomal RNA". It matches the Rfam family "Bacterial small subunit ribosomal RNA", at positions 29 to 507 of the family's 1533-position model. The record is from RNAcentral.